Non-coding RNA from Daphnia pulex (common water flea), 74 nucleotides. The record is from Rfam. NCBI's taxonomy places the organism in Eukaryota, Metazoa, Arthropoda, Branchiopoda, Diplostraca, Daphniidae.
GUCCUGUAAGCCUAGUUGGUUAAAGCGCCGUCCUAGUAACACGAAGGUCAUGAGUUCGAUCCUCUUACGGGACA